This 467-nucleotide ribosomal RNA is filed under the name uncultured bacterium. RNAcentral's name for it is "partial 16S ribosomal RNA". It matches the Rfam family "Bacterial small subunit ribosomal RNA", at positions 28 to 506 of the family's 1533-position model. The record is from RNAcentral.
GACGAACGCUGGCGGCGUGCUUAACACAUGCAAGUCGAACGGCAAGGCCCUGCUUUUGUGGGGUGCUCGAGUGGCGAACGGGUGAGUAACACGUGAGUAACCUGCCCUUGACUUUGGGAUAACUUAAGGAAACUGAGGCUAAUACCGGAUAGGAGCUCCUGCUGCAUGGUGGGGGUUGGAAAGUUUCGGCGGUUGGGGAUGGACUCGCGGCUUAUCAGCUUGUUGGUGGGGUAGUGGCUUACCAAGGCUUUGACGGGUAGCCGGCCUGAGAGGGUGACCGGCCACAGUGGGACUGAGAUACGGCCCAGACUCCUACGGGAGGCAGCAGUGGAGAAUAUUGCACAAUGGGCGGAAGCGUGAUGCAGCAACGCCGCGUGCGGGAUGACGGCCGUCGGGUUGUAAACCGCGUUCGCUUGUGACGAGGCGUGAGUGACGGUAAUGGGGAAAGAAGCACCGGCUAACUACGU